Molecule: ribosomal RNA, 1373 nt
Filed under: Lactiplantibacillus plantarum
Lineage: Bacteria; Bacillati; Bacillota; Bacilli; Lactobacillales; Lactobacillaceae
Description: bacterial SSU rRNA
Rfam family: Bacterial small subunit ribosomal RNA
Source: RNAcentral
UGGUGCUUGCAUCAUGAUUUACAUUUGAGUGAGUGGCGAACUGGUGAGUAACACGUGGGAAACCUGCCCAGAAGCGGGGGAUAACACCUGGAAACAGAUGCUAAUACCGCAUAACAACUUGGACCGCAUGGUCCGAGCUUGAAAGAUGGCUUCGGCUAUCACUUUUGGAUGGUCCCGCGGCGUAUUAGCUAGAUGGUGGGGUAACGGCUCACCAUGGCAAUGAUACGUAGCCGACCUGAGAGGGUAAUCGGCCACAUUGGGACUGAGACACGGCCCAAACUCCUACGGGAGGCAGCAGUAGGGAAUCUUCCACAAUGGACGAAAGUCUGAUGGAGCAACGCCGCGUGAGUGAAGAAGGGUUUCGGCUCGUAAAACUCUGUUGUUAAAGAAGAACAUAUCUGAGAGUAACUGUUCAGGUAUUGACGGUAUUUAACCAGAAAGCCACGGCUAACUACGUGCCAGCAGCCGCGGUAAUACGUAGGUGGCAAGCGUUGUCCGGAUUUAUUGGGCGUAAAGCGAGCGCAGGCGGUUUUUUAAGUCUGAUGUGAAAGCYUUCGGCUCAACCGAAGAAGUGCAUCGGAAACUGGGAAACUUGAGUGCAGAAGAGGACAGUGGAACUCCAUGUGUAGCGGUGAAAUGCGUAGAUAUAUGGAAGAACACCAGUGGCGAARGCGGCUGUCUGGUCUGUAACUGACGCUGAGGCUCGAAAGUAUGGGUAGCAAACAGGAUUAGAUACCCUGGUAGUCCAUACCGUAAACGAUGAAUGCUAAGUGUUGGAGGGUUUCCGCCCUUCAGUGCUGCAGCUAACGCAUUAAGCAUUCCGCCUGGGGAGUACGGCCGCAAGGCUGAAACUCAAAGGAAUUGACGGGGGCCCGCACAAGCGGUGGAGCAUGUGGUUUAAUUCGAAGCUACGCGAAGAACCUUACCAGGUCUUGACAUACUAUGCAAAUCUAAGAGAUUAGACGUUCCCUUCGGGGACAUGGAUACAGGUGGUGCAUGGUUGUCGUCAGCUCGUGUCGUGAGAUGUUGGGUUAAGUCCCGCAACGAGCGCAACCCUUAUUAUCAGUUGCCAGCAUUAAGUUGGGCACUCUGGUGAGACUGCCGGUGACAAACCGGAGGAAGGUGGGGAUGACGUCAAAUCAUCAUGCCCCUUAUGACCUGGGCUACACACGUGCUACAAUGGAUGGUACAACGAGUUGCGAACUCGCGAGAGUAAGCUAAUCUCUUAAAGCCAUUCUCAGUUCGGAUUGUAGGCUGCAACUCGCCUACAUGAAGUCGGAAUCGCUAGUAAUCGCGGAUCAGCAUGCCGCGGUGAAUACGUUCCCGGGCCUUGUACACACCGCCCGUCACACCAUGAGAGUUUGUAACACCCA